Molecule: ribosomal RNA, 253 nt
Filed under: uncultured bacterium
Lineage: Bacteria
Description: partial 16S ribosomal RNA
Rfam family: Bacterial small subunit ribosomal RNA
Source: RNAcentral
UACAGGGGGGGCAAGCGUUGUUCGGAAUUACUGGGCGUAAAGGGCCAGUAGGCGGCCAACUAAGUCGGACGUGAAAUCCCUCGGCUUAACCGGGGAACUGCGUCCGAUACUGGAUGGCUUGAGUGUGGGAGAGGGAUGCGGAAUUCCAGGUGUAGCGGUGAAAUGCGUAGAUAUUGGGAGGAACACCAGUGGCGAAGGCGGCUCACUGGACCGGAACUGACGCUGAGGCGCGAAAGCGUGGGGAGCAAACGGG